Zalophus californianus (California sea lion) is the source of this 317-nucleotide long non-coding RNA. RefSeq lists it as uncharacterized. The record is from RefSeq and is a predicted model, not a curated record. Lineage: Eukaryota; Metazoa; Chordata; Mammalia; Carnivora; Otariidae. The transcript has 3 exons.
GAAGACGCGGAGCAGAGAGGAGCCCAGAACGCUGGGGGCCGCAGCCUAUGGACUCCCGAAGGCCCUCGGCAGCGGUCGUCCGGAGGUGACAACGCCGGAUCCCGGAGGAACAGGAACCAUGGAGUACUGAUCCAGGAGCAUGCUGGGGAGCUUGGUGAACCAAAUGACUAAAACAGAGCUCUGACCAGUGGGACUUUGGGGACGUCAGCUGCAGUUGGGACAUGCCUUUCCCCCAAAUUCUUAACGAUCUCCCGGUACACGGUCUGCUGCACUUCCGGGUGCCACGCGAGAAGGUACACUGCCCAGGAUAAGGUGAA